UACGUAGGGUGCAGGCGUUAAUCGGAAUUACUGGGCGUAAAGCGUGCGCAGGCGGUUUGCUAAGAGAGAUGUGAAAUCCCCGGGCUUAACCUGGGAACUGCGUUUCUAACUGGCAGGCUUGAGUGUGGCAGAGGGGGGUGGAAUUCCACGUGUAGCAGUGAAAUGCGUAGAGAUGUGGAGGAACACCGAUGGCGAAGGCAGCCCCCUGGGCUAACACUGACGCUCAUGCACGAAAGCGUGGGGAGCAAACCGG
Molecule: ribosomal RNA, 253 nt
Filed under: uncultured bacterium
Lineage: Bacteria
Description: partial 16S ribosomal RNA
Rfam family: Bacterial small subunit ribosomal RNA
Source: RNAcentral